GCCGCCUUAGCUUAGUGGUAAAGCGCCCGGCUGUGGACCGGGAGAUCCCCCGUUCGAAUCGGGGAGGCGGCC
This 72-nucleotide transfer RNA is filed under the name Thermoprotei archaeon. Its description in RNAcentral is "tRNA-His". It matches the Rfam family "tRNA". Rfam says of the family: Transfer RNA (tRNA) molecules are approximately 80 nucleotides in length. Lineage: Archaea; Thermoproteati; Thermoproteota; Thermoprotei. The record is from RNAcentral.